RNAcentral lists this ribosomal RNA (484 nucleotides) under uncultured bacterium. RNAcentral's name for it is "partial 16S ribosomal RNA". It matches the Rfam family "Bacterial small subunit ribosomal RNA", at positions 30 to 507 of the family's 1533-position model. The record is from RNAcentral.
AUUGAACGCUGGCGGCAGGCCUAACACAUGCAAGUCGAGCGGAUGAAGGGAGCUUGCUCCUGGAUUCAGCGGCGGACGGGUGAGUAAUGCCUAUGAAUCUGCCUGGUAGUGGGGGAUAACGUCCGGAAACGGGCGCUAAUACUGCAUACGUCCAGAGGGAGAAAGAGGGGGAUCUUCGGACCUCACGCUAUCAGAUGAGCCUAGGUCGGAUUAGCUAGUUGGUGGGGUAAAGGCCUACCAAGGCGACGAUCCGUAACUGGUCUGAGAGGAUGAUCAGUCACACUGGAACUGGGACACGGUCCGGACUCCUACGGGAGGCAGCAGUGGGGAAUAUUGGACAAUGGGCGAAAGCCUGAUCCAGCCAUGCCGCGUGUGUGAAGAAGGUCUUCGGAUUGUAAAGCACUUUGAGUUGGGAGAAAGGGCAGUAAGUUAAUACGUUGCUGUUUUGACGUUACCAAAAGAAUAAGCACCGGCUAACUUCGUG